RNAcentral lists this ribosomal RNA (587 nucleotides) under Klebsiella oxytoca. RNAcentral describes it as "bacterial SSU rRNA". It matches the Rfam family "Bacterial small subunit ribosomal RNA", at positions 72 to 661 of the family's 1533-position model. The record is from RNAcentral. Lineage: Bacteria; Pseudomonadati; Pseudomonadota; Gammaproteobacteria; Enterobacterales; Enterobacteriaceae.
UUGCUCUCGGGUGACGAGUGGCGGACGGGUGAGUAAUGUCUGGGAAACUGCCUGAUGGAGGGGGAUAACUACUGGAAACGGUAGCUAAUACCGCAUAACGUCGCAAGACCAAAGAGGGGGACCUUCGGGCCUCUUGCCAUCAGAUGUGCCCAGAUGGGAUUAGCUAGUAGGUGGGGUAACGGCUCACCUAGGCGACGAUCCCUAGCUGGUCUGAGAGGAUGACCAGCCACACUGGAACUGAGACACGGUCCAGACUCCUACGGGAGGCAGCAGUGGGGAAUAUUGCACAAUGGGCGCAAGCCUGAUGCAGCCAUGCCGCGUGUAUGAAGAAGGCCUUCGGGUUGUAAAGUACUUUCAGCGGGGAGGAAGGGAGUAAGGUUAAUAACCUUGUUCAUUGACGUUACCCGCAGAAGAAGCACCGGCUAACUCCGUGCCAGCAGCCGCGGUAAUACGGAGGGUGCAAGCGUUAAUCGGAAUUACUGGGCGUAAAGCGCACGCAGGCGGUCUGUCAAGUCGGAUGUGAAAUCCCCGGGCUCAACCUGGGAACUGCAUUCGAAACUGGCASGCUGGAGUCUUGUAGAGGGGGG